AUUCGUCCGAUGAGUCCCAAAUAGAACGAAACGCGCGUCUUGAAU
Molecule: non-coding RNA, 45 nt
Filed under: Schistosoma curassoni
Lineage: Eukaryota; Metazoa; Platyhelminthes; Trematoda; Strigeidida; Schistosomatidae
Source: RNAcentral